CCUACGGGAGGCAGCAGUGGGGAAUAUUUGGCAAUGGGCGCAAGCCUGACCCAGCAACGCCGCGUGAAGGAAGAAGGCUCUCGGGUUGUAAACUUCUUUUAUCAGGGACGAAGCAAGUGACGGUACCUGAUGAAUAAGCCACUGCUAACUACGUGCCAGCAGCCGCGGUAAUACGUAGGUGGCAAGCGUUAUCCGGAUUUACUGGGUGUAAAGGGCGUGUAGGCGGGAAAGCAAGUCAGAUGUGAAAACCAUGGGCUCAACCUGUGGCCUGCAUUUGAAACUGUUUGUCUUGAGUACUGGAGGGGCAGACGGAAUUCCUAGUGUAGCGGUGAAAUGCGUAGAUAUUAGGAGGAACACCGGUGGCGAAGGCGGUCUGCUGGACAGCAACUGACGCUGAGGCGCGAAAGCGUGGGGAGCAAACAGGAUUAGAUACCCCAGUAGUC
This 443-nucleotide ribosomal RNA is filed under the name uncultured bacterium. RNAcentral's name for it is "partial 16S ribosomal RNA". It matches the Rfam family "Bacterial small subunit ribosomal RNA", at positions 338 to 795 of the family's 1533-position model. The record is from RNAcentral.